GCAAAAAGACAAAAAAAAAAAAAAGAAGAAGAAGAGAUGCCAUGUCUUACUUCUCUCUGCUUCUAACCCCACCUCCCAUAGUGUGCUUGGCAUGGGGAGGGCUCCUCGGAGGACAGUGAACUCAGAGGAUGCCUCAGACCCUCCGGGUAGUGUGGCUCUGGACAGUGCUCGUUCAUCUGCCUCCCCUGAGAGCCUCUUCCUACUUCAAUUGAACAGGUUGCUUUCUCCCUCCCUCCUGGCUGCUAUACCCUGAGGACCUGAGGAGUGUGGGCAGCCGGGAGAGAGAAAAGGAGACCCUGAUUCCCUCCAAAGCUGGGGGAGACCCUCCUGUCAGAGGGAGGAGCAUCUACACCAGCCUCCCUCCCUUCACAAGGCUGAAAGCAGCAAGGGGCCAAGACCUGCGGCAGACACGAGCAGCCCUGGGGCCAGAACUGGACCUGACGUCUGACUCGCAGAGUGACAGGUCAGAGUCCAUCAUGGCAGGGGACCCUGCAUCUGUGUCCUGACUGAUGGCCAAGUUCAGAGGCUACAGUGACUAUCUAAAUCCCUCCCACUUACUUGUGUGGCAUAAAAGCCUCUCACUUGAGUGAAUAGCAAGAACUACUGAGAUUGCUUUGGAAGAGAAGGUCAGAACUACAUUAAUUCAUGCAGAAUGAGACCGUGGGCCUUGUCGUGUUCACGUCAUCAUGACAUCAUGCGGCCACCGACCCCGAGGAGAUGCGUGGAGGGUCUUGGCGCUCAGCAGGCUCAGAAGGCCCCAGAGAGCGAUGGCCAGCUCGGCAUGCCCGUGUUCGGAGAAGUGCAGACAGUCCUCGGAGAAGAUGCUGAGGUCAGCGCCCCCUCUCUGACAUCUCGGUCCUAGUUAUACUCAAAAAAGGCGGUGCAGGGGAAAGCAACCCCCCGGGGACGCUCUCGUAGAGAUGGUCCAGAAAAGCCCAUGUGGUGAAGGAAAUACAGCGCCUGAGAUCCGGCUUCCCGGACCCGGCGGCAGCUUACGUUGUUCAGGGGGGCCAGCGUGUGCCGGAAGAACGGCUGCACGACCACCGCGAAGUCCUCCCGCUGCAGGGGCUGUGACCUGUGUUUACCGAGUGACCUUACUCUCCGGCAAGCCCUGCCGAACACUCAAUUUUGGAAUCCUUGCUCCAGGAGUAAAGAUGGGGGGGCAGGGUCACCUGGAAGUUCCAGUUCACGGUCUUCAGCUCCUGCAUCUUCAGGGAGUUCUCCUGGGAACCUCGGAAGCAGGCACAGUUGCUCCUGUGAGACAAAGAGGCCUGUAGCUCCUUGUCCCCAGGAGGCUGCGGGGCCCUGGGCCACCUCACGGGGGAGGGUGGCGAUACACAGUAGCAGCUUUGCUGCCUCUUGGGUCCGGGUCACAGAACCAUAACUCAGGCAUGAGGUCUAGAAGGUGCAAGGGCUGGGCUCUGAUGCCUGUGCCCCUGACUUCCUCCCAAGCCUGCAUCUCCUAGGGUUUCUCCAGGGGGGCUGGGGUUUGGGGAAGACUGGCCAGGUGGCCCAGCUUUCUUCUUCAUGUUCCUGAAGCCCUCCUUCUCUACGGGCUCAGAGUGAGGGGUCUCUUGGGCUGCUGGGGAGGUUCAGCCAGCUUGAGACACCCCAACAAGGUGGAAUGUAAGCCCCCCAGCCACUGGCCACUCCAGACGGGGGCUUGAUUCCAGGCAAGAAUAGAAACCAUUUGACCCCAGAUAGAACACAGUCCCCUAUAGACUCUCCUCCCCCCAAACUGUCAGAGGAACUCUGGGUGACCCUCUGGUCUCAGAAGGUAGCAACUUCUUGCAGAGUCACAGCUGGGCUUUACUAAGUUCCAGCCCCAACUUAUCUUAGAUGUUGUGCCUUACCUGCAGGCCUGUCCUAUCAAGCACAUUAUAAAAGCUAUUUCUUGAGUGGCUGCCCCACGGGCACCCCUAGACGUCACCUCUGCUUCCCAAGGAGAGUCUACAAGUAAGAGGCCCAGAGAGGCUGGGUGGUUUGUCCAAGGUCCCACAGCUCCUAAGUGGCAGAGCCAGGAUUCGAGGCCAGAGGGAGCUGUCUUGAGAGCUCAUUGCCUUGUACGACCCCUCCACCAGGGAACAGUGUGCUAGACUGGAGUUUGGCAUCACCAUGUCAUUUGGUCUGUCUACCUCACUUUCCAGAAAAGCAAACUGGGGUCCAGAGAAAUGAAGCAACCUGCGUCCAGUAUGCAUGCAACAGGGGGCACCCUUUCCAAAUGGUUUCCCGAGCCCCUGGCUAAUGGCUGAUGCUGGCACCCUGGACAGGACUGUCGGGCUCACCUGUUGGCAUUGGUCAGCUCUGGUGUCCCCUGGUGCCCUCACCCUGGAGCCAUGUACGUCUACUUACUGGGCUGCCAGUGGCAUGACACAUGUGUCACCUUGGCCCUGGUACAGGCCAGCCAGCUCCAUGACUUCCACCACGUUGACGAAGGCCCUCGGUAGCUGUGGGGAGCAGAGGGGUGGGCUUCAGUAGGCCCCGGGCAGUCGCAGGGGCACUGGUUACUGCUGGAAAGAACUUGGAUCCUCUGCAGUCUAACUCCCCCCUCCCCAAUUUUACCAAUAAACCGAGGCCUGGAGAGGGAAAGGGCCUGGUAAUUUAGUG
Phacochoerus africanus (Common warthog) is the source of this 2607-nucleotide long non-coding RNA. RefSeq lists it as uncharacterized. NCBI's taxonomy places the organism in Eukaryota, Metazoa, Chordata, Mammalia, Artiodactyla, Suidae. The record is from RefSeq and is a predicted model, not a curated record. The transcript has 6 exons.